Molecule: microRNA precursor, 103 nt
Filed under: Marmota monax (woodchuck)
Lineage: Eukaryota; Metazoa; Chordata; Mammalia; Rodentia; Sciuridae
Source: RNAcentral
AGUGGGAUAGCUGGGUCAAAUAGUAGUUCCAUUCCAGGUUUUCUAAAGAAUCUCCAUACUGCUUUCCUGAGUGGUUGCACCAAUUUGCAAUCCCACCAGCAAU